RNAcentral lists this ribosomal RNA (468 nucleotides) under uncultured bacterium. RNAcentral describes it as "partial 16S ribosomal RNA". It matches the Rfam family "Bacterial small subunit ribosomal RNA", at positions 28 to 507 of the family's 1533-position model. The record is from RNAcentral.
GACGAACGCUGGCGGCGUGCUUAACACAUGCAAGUCGAACGGAAAGGCUCUGCUUUUGUGGGGUGCUCGAGUGGCGAACGGGUGAGUAACACGUGAGUAACCUGCCCUUGACUUUGGGAUAACUUCAGGAAACUGGGGCUAUUACAGGAUAGAAGCUCCUGCUGCAUGGGGGGGGUUGGAAAGUUUCGGCGGUUGGGGAUGGACUCGCGGCUUAUCAGCUUGUUGGUGGGUUGGUGGCUUACCAAGGCUUUGACGGGAAGCCGGCCUGAGAGGGUGACCGGCCACAUUGGGACUGAGAUACGGCCCAGACUCCUACGGGAGGCAGCAGUGGGGAAUAUUGCACAAUGGGCGGAAGCCUGAUGCAGCAACGCCGCGUGCGGGAUGACGGCCUUCGGGUUGUAAACCGCUUUCGCCUGUGACGAAGCGUGAGUGACGGUAAUGGGUAAAGAAGCACCGGCUAACUACGUG